Molecule: ribosomal RNA, 532 nt
Filed under: uncultured bacterium
Lineage: Bacteria
Description: bacterial SSU rRNA
Rfam family: Bacterial small subunit ribosomal RNA
Source: RNAcentral
CUCUUGACAUCCAGAGAACUUGGCAGAGAUGCCUUGGUGCCUUCGGGAACUCUGAGACAGGUGCUGCAUGGCUGUCGUCAGCUCGUGUUGUGAAAUGUUGGGUUAAGUCCCGCAACGAGCGCAACCCCCUAUCCUUUGUUGCCAGCGAUUCGGUCGGGAACUCAAAGGAGACUGCCGGUGAUAAACCGGAGGAAGGUGGGGAUGACGUCAAGUCAUCAUGGCCCUUACGAGUAGGGCUACACACGUGCUACAAUGGCGUAUACAAAGAGAAGCGACCUCGCGAGAGCAAGCGGACCUCAUAAAGUACGUCGUAGUCCGGAUUGGAGUCUGCAACUCGACUCCAUGAAGUCGGAAUCGCUAGUAAUCGUAGAUCAGAAUGCUACGGUGAAUACGUUCCCGGGCCUUGUACACACCGCCCGUCACACCAUGGGAGUGGGUUGCAAAAGAAGUAGAUAGCUUAACCUUCGGGAGGGCGUUUACCACUUUGUGAUUCAUGACUGGGGUGAAGUCGUAACAAGGUAGGCGUACGUGU